GGACUCCACAGAAGGUGUCCGUCCUGGCUCUCCUUCAGCCCCAUGAAGCUUUCUUCAAGCCUUGCUGAUAGAUAGGGACCUGGUGGGCGCUGACCAGUGUGCCGGGGGACGCAAGCACCAAUGUGAAGCUGAAGAGAGUCCUGGAGACAGGGGUCGGUGAGACCGAGUCUGCCCAGGCCACACCAGUGGGCGGGUUGUGGCCCUGGGCCUGGGGAGGGUCGCUGUUUGAGAGGAGGACCCAGCUUUAUAAAAUGACUCCGGAUGAGCCUGGAACCUCUUGCAGAAACAAGACAGAGAGAGUUUGGAGAGGACUUCUGGAGUUGAAUCUAUCGAGGAUCACUGGGAAAUCUUGGUGGAAUUCCUUUCAACAUUUUAAGUAACAUUUUCUAAGUGCCUAGUUAAUUCAAAAUGACCUUUG
Apodemus sylvaticus (European woodmouse) is the source of this 418-nucleotide long non-coding RNA. RefSeq lists it as uncharacterized. The record is from RefSeq and is a predicted model, not a curated record. The transcript is spliced from 3 exons. Lineage: Eukaryota; Metazoa; Chordata; Mammalia; Rodentia; Muridae.